GCCUAAAGCGUCCGUAGCCGGCUUUGUUAGUUUUCGGUUAAAUCCAUAUGCUCAACAUAUGGGCCGCCGGGAAUACUGUAAAGCUAGGGAGUGGGAGAGGUAGACGGUACUCCGUAGGAAGGGGUAAAAUCCUUUGAUCUAUGGAUGACCACCAGUGGCGAAGGCGGUCUACCAGAACACGUUCGACGGUGAGGGAUGAAAGCUGGGGGAGCAAACCGGAUUAGAUACCCGGGUAGUCCCAGCUGUAAACUAUGCAAACUCAGUGAUGCAUUGGCUUGUGGCCAGUGCAGUGCCGCAGAGAAGUCGUUAAGUUUGCCGCCUGGGAAGUACGUACGCAAGUAUGAAACUUAAAGGAAUUGGCGGGGGAGCACCACAAGGGGUGAAGCCUGCGGUUCAAUUGGAGUCAACGCCAGAAAUCUUACCCGGAGAGACAGCAGAAUGAAGGUCAAGUUGAAGCCUUUACCAGACAAGCUGAGAAGUGGUGCAUGGCCGUCGCCAGCUCGUGCCGUGAGGUGUCCUGUUAAGUCAGGUAACGAGCGAGAUCCUUGCCUCUAGUUGCCACCAUUACUCUCAGGAGUAGUGGGGCGAAUUAGCGGGACUGCCGUAGUUAAUACGGAGGAAGGAGAGGGCCACGGCAGGUCAGUAUGCCCCGAA
This 654-nucleotide ribosomal RNA is filed under the name uncultured archaeon. RNAcentral's name for it is "bacterial SSU rRNA". It matches the Rfam family "Archaeal small subunit ribosomal RNA", at positions 508 to 1160 of the family's 1478-position model. The record is from RNAcentral.